UAGAAGAAUUCUAUUAUCUAUGCUAUUGCCACGUCUUGGGGGACUCAGAAACCGCCUUUUCACAAAUAUAUCCGUGUGCCUUUCUUUCUUCCACAUUUAAAGACCGCGACCACUCGCAUUAUAUGCUUUAACAUGGCCUAUUCAUUCUUCUACUAUCUAUGAAAAUAAAUGUCUUAUUACUUCAAUCAAUUUGAUGUUAUUAAGACAUCGUAGUUAUUGUGUUUAAAUUGUUGUCAACUGGUUGUUAUGUUUGGAAAUGUUUGCAUUAGUUUAUCAGAGGAUGUAAUUUCGAUAAUUUUACCAAAAGCUCCCAAUAGUGUUUGCAGAUCAAUAAGCCGGAAACUGUUCAGCAUGGUUCUAUCACCUUCGUCAACGGAGUAAUUAUUCAUAUUCAUGGUCACUAAAAAAAAAAAUUUUAAUUUAUAGUUGUAGAUUUGUGAUAAAUUAAAACUAUGGUACUUAACCAGAUAAAGUCUUGCAAAGGGAGACAAAUAUUUGAAAGCUUGUCUCGGGACAAAUCAAUUUGAUUUUUUUGGAUACUACAUGUCUAUUUAAGCUCAAAAAUGCAAACUCAAGUUAGUUAAAGAGUUGUACUUUUCUUCAAGUUUACAGCUAGCAUAACAUAAUUAUAUUACUAAUAAUUAUAAAUAAGAUAUAAUUAUUAUUUUAUUUUUAAAAAAAAAAACUGAAUAAUUAUUACUUAUUUGCCUAGUUAAGGGUGACGCUCUACAGUCAAUAAUAAAGACAAUAUAAAAAAUUGAAUCCAAAAAAAUGAAUCGAAAGAUUGUCUAUUUGUAUGAAAAAACCCAAAUGAACCUAUUAAAUGAAAAAUUUCUUGAAGAUAUAAAACAAGAGCAGAAACAGAAAAUUGCAUGAAAAUUAUAAAUGGGAGCUUUAUUAGAUGGAAAACAACUAUUAGUUGUUUGGGAUGCUGGAUUUAUUGAAUGACGUCAAUAUAAACUUGUUAAAAGAAAUCAUCUAAGAUCUUAUUUGCAUCCAAAUAUUCAAAAAUAAAUAUUAUAAAUUCACACUUAAGAUACUUAGAAGAAACAAAUAAUUUAUUGUAAGGAGCAUUAUUUUUUUUUUCAGUAACUAUGCAAUGUUUGUUUAAAUUGUUUAUUUUUGUUUUAUAAAUAUCUAUAUUCUAUCGUUUAAUAUUUUUUUGUAUUUACCAUCUAAUAAGACAGUAUUAUUUAUAACUAUAUUUGUGUUUUCCUACUGAGACUUUUGAAAAUAUUUUUUUUUUUUUUAAAGCAGGAGUAAUUUUAAUUUGUUUUUUUUUUUUAUUUUGUUUCUAAAAUUUAAUAUAUUUUGUUUGUUAUAAUAAGUUAUAUUGACACAAACUUUAGAAAUCAAUAUGCAUUUAAUUUAAU
Long non-coding RNA from Aphis gossypii (cotton aphid), 1373 nucleotides. RefSeq lists it as uncharacterized. Lineage: Eukaryota; Metazoa; Arthropoda; Insecta; Hemiptera; Aphididae. The transcript is spliced from 5 exons. The record is from RefSeq and is a predicted model, not a curated record.